AACGAACGCUGGCGGCAUGCCUAACACAUGCAAGUCGAACGAAGGCUUCGGCCUUAGUGGCGCACGGGUGCGUAACGCGUGGGAAUCUGCCCUUUGGUUCGGAAUAACAGCUGGAAACGGCUGCUAAUACCGGAUGAUGACGAAAGUCCAAAGAUUUAUCGCCAGAGGUUGAGCCCGCGUUGGAUUAGGUAGUUGGUGGGGUAAUGGCCUACCAAGCCGUCGAUCCAUAGCUGGUCUGAGAGGAUGAUCAGCCACACUGGAACUGAGACACGGCCCAGACUCCUACGGGAGGCAGCAGUGGGGAAUAUUGGACACUGGGCGCAAGCCUGAUCCAGCAAUGCCGCGUGAGUGAUGAGGGCCCUAGGGUUGUAAAGCUCUUUUACCCGGGAAGAUAAUGACGGUACCGGGAGAAUAAGCCCCGGCUAACUCCGUG
This 433-nucleotide ribosomal RNA is filed under the name uncultured bacterium. RNAcentral's name for it is "partial 16S ribosomal RNA". It matches the Rfam family "Bacterial small subunit ribosomal RNA", at positions 29 to 507 of the family's 1533-position model. The record is from RNAcentral.